This 75-nucleotide transfer RNA is filed under the name Acidiferrimicrobium australe. Its description in RNAcentral is "Acidimicrobiaceae bacterium USS-CCA1 tRNA-Arg". It matches the Rfam family "tRNA". Rfam says of the family: Transfer RNA (tRNA) molecules are approximately 80 nucleotides in length. Their secondary structure includes four short double-helical elements and three loops (D, anti-codon, and T loops). The record is from RNAcentral. Lineage: Bacteria; Bacillati; Actinomycetota; Acidimicrobiia; Acidimicrobiales; Acidimicrobiaceae.
GCCCUCGUAGCUCAGGGGAUAGAGCACCGGCCUCCGGAGCCGGGUGCGGAGGUUCGAAUCCUCCCGGGGGCACCA